This 253-nucleotide unclassified non-coding RNA is filed under the name uncultured Caryophanales bacterium. Its description in RNAcentral is "uncultured Bacillales bacterium contains 16S-23S intergenic spacer region". It matches the Rfam family "Bacterial small subunit ribosomal RNA", at positions 524 to 776 of the family's 1533-position model. Lineage: Bacteria; Bacillati; Bacillota; Bacilli; Caryophanales. The record is from RNAcentral.
UACGUAGGUGGCAAGCGUUGGCCGGAAUUAUUGGGCGUAAAGCGCGCGCAGGCGGUUUCUUAAGUCUGAUGUGAAAGCCCACGGCGCAACCGUGGAGGGUCAUUGGAAAGUGGGAAACUUGAGUACAGAAGAGGAGAGUGGAAGUCCACGUGUAGCGGUGAAAUGCGUAGAUAUGUGGAGGAACACCAGUGGCGCAGGCGACUCUCUGGUCUGUAACUGACGCUGAGGCGCGAAAGCGUGGGGAGCGAACAGG